AAGCUUCGUUUAUCAUUGAUGUUAUGUGUCGAAGUAUGUUGAUGUGUGAUUAUGCACUUGUUGGGCCCUUUUGCUGUACACCUGCACUUGUAGAACUAUUUUUGUUGUGCAUUUGUUGGGCCUUGAACCUUUAUGUGUAGAGGAGUCGAUGGAUGAUCUAUUGUAAUUCAUGUGAUGUGCUACUUAAAUGAAAUAUAUACAACUAAUU
Molecule: long non-coding RNA, 208 nt
Filed under: Hordeum vulgare
Lineage: Eukaryota; Viridiplantae; Streptophyta; Magnoliopsida; Poales; Poaceae
Description: long non-coding RNA (HVUL_LNC003809)
Source: RNAcentral